GGGGAAUUUUCCGCAAUGGGCGAAAGCCUGACGGAGCAAUACCGCGUGAGGGAGGAAGGCUCUUGGGUUGUAAACCUCUUUUCUCAGGGAAUAAGAANCUGAAGGUACCUGAGGAAUCAGCAUCGGCUAACUCCGUGCCAGCAGCCGCGGUAAUANCGGAGGAUGCAAGCGUUAUCCGGAAUGAUUGGGCGUAAAGCGUCCGCAGGUGGUUUAUCAAGUCUGCUGUCAAAGAGUUUGGCUCAACCAAAUAAAGGCAGUGGAAACUGACAGANCUGGAGUGCGGUAAGGGCAGAGGGAAUUCCUGGUGUAGCGGUGAAAUGCGUAGAGAUCAGGAAGAACACCGGUGGCGAAAGCGCUCUGCUGGGCCGUAACUGACACUGAGGGACGAAAGCUAGGGGAGCGAAUGGGAUUAGAUACCCCAGUAGUC
RNAcentral lists this ribosomal RNA (427 nucleotides) under uncultured cyanobacterium. Its description in RNAcentral is "bacterial SSU rRNA". It matches the Rfam family "Bacterial small subunit ribosomal RNA", at positions 356 to 795 of the family's 1533-position model. The record is from RNAcentral. Lineage: Bacteria; Bacillati; Cyanobacteriota.